RNAcentral lists this ribosomal RNA (253 nucleotides) under uncultured bacterium. RNAcentral's name for it is "partial 16S ribosomal RNA". It matches the Rfam family "Bacterial small subunit ribosomal RNA", at positions 524 to 776 of the family's 1533-position model. The record is from RNAcentral.
GACGGAAGGUGCAAGCGUUGCUCGGAAUCACUGGGCGUAAAGGGUGCGUAGGCGGCUGUGUAAGUCUGGCGUGAAAGCCCAGGGCUCAGCCCUGGAAGUGCGCUAGAAACUGCGCGGCUGGAGUGCCGGAGGGGAGAGUGGAAUUCCUGGUGUAGCGGUGAAAUGCGUAGAUAUCAGGAGGAAUACCAGUGGCGAAGGCGGCCCGCUGGUCCAGUACUGACACUCAAGUGCGAAAGCGUGGGGAGCAAACAGG